GGAGGUAGUGACAAUAAAUCACAAUGCGGAACAUUUGUUUUGCAAUUGUAUUGAGAAAAACGUAAAAGCUUUAUCGAUAAACAAUUGGAGGGCAAGUCUGGUGCCAGCAGCCGCGGUAAUUCCAGCUCCAAUAGCGUAUAUUAACGUUGUUGCAGUUAAAAAGCUCGUAGUUGAAAUGUGAGUUUUAUGGUAUUAAUCUCUUCUGAGACGAAACUUAUAAAACUCGAUUAAUAGGAUAGUAAAAGCGUAUUAAUUUAUGUUUUAUUAUUCUAUUUCUUUUACUGUGAGAAAAUUAGAGUGUUCAAAGCAGACGUUUGUUUGAAUAGAUUAGCAUGGAAUAAUACAUAUGUUUGUAACAUUAUGUAUGGUUUAGUAGUUACAAAGAGAUUAAUAGGAACAGUUGGGGGUAUUCAUAUUCAAUAGUCAGAGGUGAAAUUCUGGGAUUUAUGGAAGAUGAACAAGUGCGAAAGCA
This 472-nucleotide ribosomal RNA is filed under the name Blastocystis sp. RNAcentral's name for it is "SSU rRNA". It matches the Rfam family "Eukaryotic small subunit ribosomal RNA", at positions 460 to 953 of the family's 1831-position model. The record is from RNAcentral. Lineage: Eukaryota; Bigyra; Opalinata; Blastocystidae.